This 87-nucleotide transfer RNA is filed under the name Dissulfurispira thermophila. RNAcentral's name for it is "Nitrospiraceae bacterium T55J tRNA-Leu". It matches the Rfam family "tRNA". Rfam says of the family: Transfer RNA (tRNA) molecules are approximately 80 nucleotides in length. Their secondary structure includes four short double-helical elements and three loops (D, anti-codon, and T loops). Further hydrogen bonds mediate the characteristic L-shaped molecular structure. tRNAs have two regions of fundamental functional importance: the anti-codon, which is responsible for specific mRNA codon recognition, and the 3' end, to which the tRNAs corresponding amino acid is attached (by aminoacyl-tRNA synthetases). tRNAs cope with the degeneracy of the genetic code in two manners: having more than one tRNA (with a specific anti-codon) for a particular amino acid; and 'wobble' base-pairing, i.e. permitting non-standard base-pairing at the 3rd anti-codon position. The record is from RNAcentral. RNAcentral also lists the same sequence under 1 other name. Lineage: Bacteria; Pseudomonadati; Nitrospirota; Thermodesulfovibrionia; Thermodesulfovibrionales; Dissulfurispiraceae.
GCCGGUGUGGUGGAAUUGGCAGACGCGACGGACUCAAAAUCCGUUGGGGGCAACCUCGUGGGAGUUCGACCCUCCCCACCGGCACCA